AGCAGCCGCGGUAAUUCCAACUCCAAUAGCGUAUAUUAAAGUUGUUGCAGUUAAAAAGCUCGUAGUUGAAUUUCGGGAUUGACACAUCGGUCGUGCCUUAAGGGGUAUGAACUGGUGUAGUCAAUUUCUCACCUUCUGGAGAACCGCGAUGCCCUUAAUUGGGUGUCGCGGGGAACCAGGACCUUUACUUUGAAAAAAUUAGAGUGUUUAAAGCAGGCAUUUUGCUUGAAUACAUUAGCAUGGAAUAAUAAAAUAGGACGGCAUGAUUCUAUUUUGUUGGUUUCUAGGAUCACCGUAAUGAUUAAUAGGGAUAGUUGGGGGCAUUAGUAUUCAAUUGUCAGAGGUGAAAUUCUUGGAUUUAUUGAAGACUGACUACUGCGAAAGCAUUUGCCAAGGAUGUUUUCAUUAAUCAAGAACGAAAGUUAGGGGAUCGAAGACGAUCAGAUACCGUCGUAGUCUUAACCAUAAACUAUGCCGACUAGGAAUCAGACGAUGUUAAUUUUUUAAUGACUCGUUUGGC
RNAcentral lists this ribosomal RNA (520 nucleotides) under uncultured Entrophospora. RNAcentral's name for it is "SSU rRNA". It matches the Rfam family "Eukaryotic small subunit ribosomal RNA", at positions 569 to 1084 of the family's 1831-position model. Lineage: Eukaryota; Fungi; Glomeromycota; Glomeromycetes; Entrophosporales; Entrophosporaceae. The record is from RNAcentral.